GGGGAAGGGUGCCAUCCGCUAUUGCUUGCAAUGGCAAAUCUAGUUAUGGCACCCUCAACGGAGUUGGGGUGACAUAUUGUUAUUCUACGUUUCUUUUUUUCUUAUUAUUUUUAUUUUCUUCCACACAUUUUGUCCGCGCGAGUUCUCAGAAUUGAAUGGACCAAUGUUUAUGGAACUCAACUAUAAUGAGGAACCCCAUUUGAAGUUGUGCACCUUGCUAUGGAAUGGUAAAAGAUGGCCGCCGUUUCCAUGGAAACAGCACAAAUGCGAAAAAAAUCAA
This 280-nucleotide long non-coding RNA is filed under the name Mytilus galloprovincialis (Mediterranean mussel). Lineage: Eukaryota; Metazoa; Mollusca; Bivalvia; Mytilida; Mytilidae. The record is from RNAcentral.